This 471-nucleotide ribosomal RNA is filed under the name uncultured bacterium. RNAcentral describes it as "SSU rRNA". It matches the Rfam family "Bacterial small subunit ribosomal RNA", at positions 26 to 518 of the family's 1533-position model. The record is from RNAcentral.
AGGACGAACGCUGGCGGCGCGCCUAAAACAUGCAAGUCGAACGAGAAGCCCGGGCUUGCCCGGGUGGACAGUGGCGAACGGGUGAGUAACACGUGAGGAACCUGCCCCGAAGACCGGGACAACACCGGGAAACCGGUGCUAAUACCGGAUACCUUCACCGGAUCGCAUGGUCUGGUGAAGAAAUGGAUUCCGCUUCGGGAUGGCCUCGCGGCCUAUCAGCUAGUUGGUGAGGUAACGGCUCACCAAGGCGACGACGGGUAGCUGGUCUGAGAGGAUGUCCAGCCACACUGGGACUGAGACACGGCCCAGACUCCUACGGGAGGCAGCAGUUAGGAAUCUUGCGCAAUGGACGAAAGUCUGACGCAGCGACGCCGCGUGCGGGAUGAAGGCCUUCGGGUGUAAACCGCUUUCAGCAGGGACGAAAUUGACGGUACCUGCAGAGAAGCCCGGCAACUACGUGCCAGCAGCCGC